ACCUCCGUGGUGUAGUGGUAGAACAUGCAUCCUUGGAUAGGAUGGACGAGGGUUCGAUUCCCGCCUGAGGGC
This is a non-coding RNA of Parelaphostrongylus tenuis, 72 nucleotides long. The record is from the annotation of a GenBank genome assembly. Lineage: Eukaryota; Metazoa; Nematoda; Chromadorea; Rhabditida; Metastrongylidae.